GACGAACGCUGGCGGCGUGCUUAACACAUGCAAGUCGAACGGUGAAGCCUUCGGGUGGAUCAGUGGCGAACGGGUGAGUAACACGUGAGCAAUCUGCCCUUGACUCUGGGAUAACUUCGGGAAACCGGAGCUAAUACCGGAUAUGACAUCUGGCCGCAUGGUCUGGGUGUGGAAAGAUUUAUCGGUCAAGGAUGAGCUCGCGGCCUAUCAGCUUGUUGGUGGGGAAUGGCCACCAAGGCGACGACGGGUAGCCGGCCUGAGAGGGCGACCGGCCACACUGGGACUGAGACACGGCCCAGACUCCUACGGGAGGCAGCAGUGGGAAGGGUAUUGCGCAAU
Molecule: ribosomal RNA, 339 nt
Filed under: uncultured bacterium
Lineage: Bacteria
Description: bacterial SSU rRNA
Rfam family: Bacterial small subunit ribosomal RNA
Source: RNAcentral